This is a small nuclear RNA of Nycticebus coucang (slow loris), 104 nucleotides long. NCBI's taxonomy places the organism in Eukaryota, Metazoa, Chordata, Mammalia, Primates, Lorisidae. The record is from RefSeq and is a predicted model, not a curated record.
GACUCAUUGUGGUAGCACAUACUAAAAUUGGAACUAUACAGAGAAGAUUAGCAAGGCCUCAGUGCAAGGAUGACACACAAAUUCGUUAAGUGAUCCAUAUUUUU